GGGAGAGCCUUUCCGUGACUGU
Molecule: microRNA, 22 nt
Filed under: Branchiostoma belcheri (Belcher's lancelet)
Lineage: Eukaryota; Metazoa; Chordata; Leptocardii; Amphioxiformes; Branchiostomatidae
Description: bbe-miR-281-5p
Gene: bbe-miR-281-5p
Source: miRBase by way of RNAcentral